RNAcentral lists this long non-coding RNA (501 nucleotides) under Arabidopsis lyrata. Its description in RNAcentral is "long non-coding RNA (ALYR_LNC002513)". Lineage: Eukaryota; Viridiplantae; Streptophyta; Magnoliopsida; Brassicales; Brassicaceae. The record is from RNAcentral.
GUCACGAGAGUGGAUUGAUUUGUAUUCGAAUCUAUUGUCUAGGGAUAGCUUGAUUGAGUUUGUUAACCACCUAGGUAGGCUAAGGAGACUGCCAUAAUCGAUUACCCCAUUCCUCAGGACCCUUCAUCUCUAUUGAUAGUUUAAAUCUUGUUUCUGUUAGUCUCUGUUGCUUAGCUCGACCUGCUAGGCCUAGAUCGUUUCUCUGCAUUGUUAGGUUGCUAGUUUCUUUUCCAAAGCUUAUGCAUGAUAGUUUCUGGUCUUUAGCUUACUUCUUGUUCUUGUUUACUUGCUGUUUAGUUCUCUUUUGCAAGCUUUUAAAUUCAGUAUUUGCAUGUUAAUUUGGUUGCUUAGGAUCAAUAGAAACACACAAAACCCUUUCAUAAUUGGCUUGACUUAUCUGCUUUCUGUUUCAUAUCUUGAAUGAUUGCAGUCACACUAAGAUUGGAUUGAUAACCUAAUAUACUACAAUGGCAUGUGUAUUAGGGAUUGAUACAUGUUAGA